CAACGACCCUGGUGUGAUUUCUACAUUAAUAACCUGAGCUUUACAGUGAGGUAUCAUUUACACGUGUAUGUUAUAUGUGGCUUAGUUCUAAAAAUCCCUGCAAUCUCUUAUUUCCUAUAGAAUAAUGUUUGCCACAUGAUUUAACAGCAUUUCUUUGAAAACUUCUUGAAAUAAUUCAACUGUCAUUCUAAGGAUAUAUGUUCCAGGUUUCCAAUUCAAGAGAAGUUUCCA
RNAcentral lists this long non-coding RNA (231 nucleotides) under Pan troglodytes (chimpanzee). Its description in RNAcentral is "long non-coding RNA NONPTRT002273". Lineage: Eukaryota; Metazoa; Chordata; Mammalia; Primates; Hominidae. The record is from RNAcentral.